This 19-nucleotide small nuclear RNA is filed under the name Arabidopsis thaliana (thale cress). RNAcentral describes it as "snRNA_17211". Lineage: Eukaryota; Viridiplantae; Streptophyta; Magnoliopsida; Brassicales; Brassicaceae. The record is from RNAcentral.
CCUGCCUUGGCUUAGAAAC